GAUGAACGCUGGCGGCGUGCCUAAUACAUGCAAGUCGAGCGAACGGACGAGAAGCUUGCUUCUCUGAUGUUAGCGGCGGACGGGUGAGUAACACGUGUAUAACCUACCUAUAAGACUGGGAUAACUUCGGGAAACCGGCGCUAAUACCGGAUGAUAUUUUGAACCGCAUGGUUCAAAAGUGAAAUACGGUCUUGCUGUCACUUAUCGAUGGAUCCGCGCUGCAUUAGCUAGUUGGUAAGGUAACGGCUUACCAAGGCAACGAUGCAUAGCCGACCUGAGAGGGGGGUCGGCGACACGAGAGCGGGAACACGGACAAGACUACUAAGGGAGGGAGCAGAAGGGAAUGUUACGCAAUGGGCGAAAGCAUGACGGAGCAAGGCGGCGUGAGUGAUAAAGGUGUUGGGAGCGUAAAACUCUGUUAUGGGGUAAAAACAGAUGUGGAAGGAACUGUGGAGAGCUUGACGGUAAUGAAUCAGAAAGCAACGGCUAACUACGUG
Molecule: ribosomal RNA, 497 nt
Filed under: uncultured bacterium
Lineage: Bacteria
Description: partial 16S ribosomal RNA
Rfam family: Bacterial small subunit ribosomal RNA
Source: RNAcentral